This 833-nucleotide ribosomal RNA is filed under the name uncultured bacterium. RNAcentral's name for it is "bacterial SSU rRNA". It matches the Rfam family "Bacterial small subunit ribosomal RNA", at positions 36 to 881 of the family's 1533-position model. The record is from RNAcentral.
CGGGCGGCGUGCUUACCAUGCAAGUCGAACGAUGAUCCCAGCUUGCUGGGGGAUUAGUGGCGAACGGGUGAGUAACACGUGAGUAACCUGCCCUUAACUCUGGGAUAAGCCUGGGAAACUGGGUCUAAUACCGGAUAUGACUCCUCAUCGCAUGGUGGGGGGUGGAAAGCUUUAUUGUGGUUUUGGAUGGACUCGCGGCCUAUCAGCUUGUUGGUGAGGUAAUGGCUCACCAAGGCGACGACGGGUAGCCGGCCUGAGAGGGUGACCGGCCACACUGGGACUGAGACACGGCCCAGACUCCUACGGGAGGCAGCAGUGGGGAAUAUUGCACAAUGGGCGCAAGCCUGAUGCAGCGACGCCGCGUGAGGGAUGACGGCCUUCGGGUUGUAAACCUCUUUCAGUAGGGAAGAAGCGAAAGUGACGGUACCUGCAGAAGAAGCGCCGGCUAACUACGUGCCAGCAGCCGCGGUAAUACGUAGGGCGCAAGCGUUAUCCGGAAUUAUUGGGCGUAAAGAGCUCGUAGGCGGUUUGUCGCGUCUGCCGUGAAAGUCCGGGGCUCAACUCCGGAUCUGCGGUGGGUACGGGCAGACUAGAGUGAUGUAGGGGAGACUGGAAUUCCUGGUGUAGCGGUGAAAUGCGCAGAUAUCAGGAGGAACACCGAUGGCGAAGGCAGGUCUCUGGGCAUUAACUGACGCUGAGGAGCGAAAGCAUGGGGAGCGAACAGGAUUAGAUACCCUGGUAGUCCAUGCCGUAAACGUUGGGCACUAGGUGUGGGGGACAUUCCACGUUUUCCGCGCCGUAGCUAACGCAUUAAGUGCCCCGCCCUGGGGAGU